RNAcentral lists this transfer RNA (72 nucleotides) under Tropilaelaps mercedesae. It matches the Rfam family "tRNA". From Rfam's summary of the family: Transfer RNA (tRNA) molecules are approximately 80 nucleotides in length. Their secondary structure includes four short double-helical elements and three loops (D, anti-codon, and T loops). Lineage: Eukaryota; Metazoa; Arthropoda; Arachnida; Mesostigmata; Laelapidae. The record is from Rfam by way of RNAcentral.
GGCUCGUUGGUCUAGGGGUAUGAUUCUCGCUUCGGGUGCGAGAGGUGCCGGGUUCGAAUCCCGGACGAGCCC